AAAGUUAAAUCAAACUUAAAAAUGAAUUAUAAUUUAUUUCUUUUUAGAAAGUGAUUAAUUUCAAAAUAAAAAACUAGACACAAACUGAUAUUACAUUCCUGACAUGUCAUGAACACAGUCACUAGUUUGGCCUGAUUUAUUUGAAGCAUAUUUAAAAGAAUAUUUGUUCAGUAUUUGAUGAAUUAUAUUGCCAUGCAACUCUGCUAAUGUAAUGUGUUUUCCAGUAAUGGACUUGUAAGAAAAAUAUGCAUUUAGUAAAGACAACUCAAUAAGGUGAAAAAUAGUUCUUAUACCAUUUAAGGUUUUGGAAUACACAUUCUAAUGGGCAUAGCAAAACUUCAUAAUUGUCAAUAAUCCUCAUAUUAUUAAAAUACUCAUGCAUGGAUAAUGGUUUUGUUCUCUGGUGUUCAUG
Molecule: non-coding RNA, 412 nt
Organism: Cinara cedri
Lineage: Eukaryota; Metazoa; Arthropoda; Insecta; Hemiptera; Aphididae
Source: the annotation of a GenBank genome assembly